UCUUUUUCUUCUCUUUUUCUUUCCAUUAAUUUUGUUCCCCACUCCAUUUUACCACUAAAUCUACUUUUUGACUUUCACCACCAUUUUCCCCACCACUUUCACCACCUACUCAAUUAUGCAACAACACAUAUUGUACCAGCCAUCAAGUCUUUUCUUCCCUCACCAAAACGUGUAGAAGAAGUUGAGAAAGGGAGAGAGAGUUUCCUCCAACUCCAAAUUGUAACUUGAAGAGGUUGAGCAGCUGCCGAUGGUGAUGAAGUGACGAGCGGGAUUCUUUUGUCUUAUUAUGUAUUAAUGAACUCUAGGGUUACAUGUCUUCAUACAUGUAAUCAGAACCUUAUUCCGCUGCGUACUCAGAAGUUUUAUGUUAUUUUGGAUAAGUCGGAGUUAUCCGAACUUGUUAGUUAUUUGAGUCUAUACGACAAAAACUCUGUUAUAUUAUAGAUAUCCAUGUUGUUAACAAUGAUGAAAUACGAUCCUUUCUUGUUUGAUUA
Molecule: long non-coding RNA, 494 nt
Organism: Salvia miltiorrhiza (redroot sage)
Lineage: Eukaryota; Viridiplantae; Streptophyta; Magnoliopsida; Lamiales; Lamiaceae
Exons: 2
Source: RefSeq, a predicted model, not a curated record